Molecule: ribosomal RNA, 492 nt
Filed under: uncultured bacterium
Lineage: Bacteria
Description: partial 16S ribosomal RNA
Rfam family: Bacterial small subunit ribosomal RNA
Source: RNAcentral
AGUGAACGCUGGCGGUAGGCCUAACACAUGCAAGUCGAACGGCAGCACAGUAAGAGCUUGCUCUUACGGGUGGCGAGUGGCGGACGGGUGAGGAAUACAUCGGAAUCUACUUUUUCGUGGGGGAUAACGUAGGGAAACUUACGCUACUACCGCAUACGACCUACGGGUGAAAGCAGGGGAUCUUCGGACCUUGCGCGAUUGAAUGAGCCGAUGUCGGAUUAGCUAGUUGGCGGGGUAAAGGCCCACCAAGGCGACGAUCCGUAGCUGGUCUGAGAGGAUGAUCAGCCACACUGGAACUGAGACACGGUCCAGACUCCUACGGGAGGCAGCAGUGGGGAAUAUUGGACAAUGGGCGCAAGCCUGAUCCAGCCAUACCGCGUGGGUGAAGAAGGCCUUCGGGUUGUAAAGUCCUUUUGUUGGGAAAGAAAAGCAGCAGGUUAAUACCCCGCUGUUCUGACGGUACCCAAAGAAUAAGCACCGGCUAACUUCGUG